RNAcentral lists this ribosomal RNA (280 nucleotides) under uncultured bacterium. RNAcentral's name for it is "partial 16S ribosomal RNA". It matches the Rfam family "Bacterial small subunit ribosomal RNA", at positions 506 to 784 of the family's 1533-position model. The record is from RNAcentral.
UGCCAGCCGCCGCGGAAAUACGCAGGGAGCGAGCGUUAAUCGGAAUUACUGGGCGUAAAGCGCGCGUAGGCGGCUUUGUAAGUCGGAUGUGAAAGCCCUGGGCUCAACCUGGGAAUUGCAUUCGAUACUGCAUGGCUAGAGUAUGGUAGAGGGAAGUGGAAUUUCCGGUGUAGCGGUGAAAUGCGUAGAUAUCGGAAGGAACACCAGUGGCGAAGGCGACUUCCUGGGCCAAUACUGACGCUGAGGCACGAAAGCGUUGGGUAGCAAACGGGAUUAGAUA